Long non-coding RNA from Brassica napus (rape), 4077 nucleotides. RefSeq lists it as uncharacterized. The transcript has 4 exons. NCBI's taxonomy places the organism in Eukaryota, Viridiplantae, Streptophyta, Magnoliopsida, Brassicales, Brassicaceae. The record is from RefSeq and is a predicted model, not a curated record.
UGUUUAAAUUUAUGUAUUUCAAUAUACUUAAUUUAUUUAAAUUUUACACUAUAGGAAAUGUGGGUAUUAAUAGCAUCGUAGUAUAGCGUUUUUAACAUUUAUGCUAUUGUAUACCAACACUGACCUUUUUAAUAACGUUUAUAAAAUUUAAACGCUAUGUUUGUUAUCGCAAGAAAAUAAAAAAAUUUAGCCGCGUUAAUUUGCAAAGUGUAAAUGCCUUACCAUUGCAGAUCAAAAAUUCAGCGCUAUUGUAAAUAGACACAACACAUAAUUCUUUUUUCCUGCCAGAUACUAAGUGAAAAAAACAAGUGUCUAAUCUUUUUCAUUUUCCCUCUCAUCCUCGUUUUUCACUUCCCUCUCAUUCCGUUUCGUUUCUCAACCCUCCAAAAAAACCUAAACCCAAGCUAAACCAUAAAUCUUAUACCCUAAACUUAAAACAGAACCCUAAAGCUCAAGCAUUUUCUUAUUUUAAUUAUAAAUCUAAGCCUCAAACCCUAAAUUAUAUACUUAUAUAUAUCAUACCCUAAAUUAAUCACAUCCCCUAAACUCUAACUAAAAUUCUUAAAAUUCUAUUUUUUUUUAAUUUAAAAAAAUUAAUUUUAAUUUCAAAUCUCAAAUCUAAUACUCUAACCCUAAACUUAAAUAUAUACCAUACCCAAAAUCAUAUUACAUAUACUCUAAACUUAUAUUUUAAAACUCUAAAUUUUAAAUACAAAAUAAAUGUAAUCAAUAAUUUGAAUAUAAUUUAUUUUUUAUACAAAUAAAUUUAGUUAAACAAUAAAUUAUAAUCUCUAAAACAAUUAUUAAUAAAAAUAGUUUUGGAUUGAUUAAUUUUCGACCACUGAUUGGUUUUAUUCCAAAGGUUAGAAGUUAAUCUUAGUUAAUCUUAGUUAAUCCUAUUACUUUCUCUUUAUUGGUCAAUGAUUUGUGGCCAUUGAUUGUUUUUCUCCUGAGAUCAAUCUUCUCCAUCACUUGGCCAUCUUUUCUCAAUCUUCUCCAUCCAUCCUUGAAUCGUUAAACCUAAAAUAACAAAGUCUUCAGAUCUGCACACAGAGCUUGACUCUAAUCAACCUUUUACGAUUCAACCUGUCUGGAUUCAACCCUCUCUCUCUCUAUCUCUAUCUCUCUCACUCAGCCAUGAUGAAAGCUUCGGCGACAACGCUUGACUCGAGUCAGAGAUGGCGAGUGACAACAGAGCAGCGCCGGUGGCAAGGCGGAAGACGGAUGUCCUUCAUAAGCAGAGGAGGAGAAGAGGCUUCGAUGGUUCAGCUCGCCGGAGAUGAAUAAAGGGGAAGUCUCAGCAUCUCUUUGCCGUGAACCUCGCCGAGUUUGAUGAUGUUAAUGGAAAGGUGCUGAGUAACAAGACUGUUGGCGAAGGUGACGAUGCUUUCAACACCUUCUUCAGCGAAACCGGUGCAGGGAAGCAUGUCUCUCAUGCUGUCUUUGUCGACCUUGAGCCCACCAUGAUCGACGAGCUGUUUACAUGGGGUUGGAAUCAAAGAGGUACAUUAGGACAUCCACCAGAGACGAAAACAGAAAGCCAAUGUUAAGAUUACACUGAGAAAGGAAGGAAUGAGGAUUCUAGUCGGAAGAGAGAACUAGAAGGAGAGUCGGAGUAGACUCGUUGGUGUGAGUCCGAGAGAGAGACUUCGAGAGUGAGAGAGUUUUGAUUUUUUUAUCUAAGUGUUUAGGCUUGUUAGUCUUUUGUGGGAUGUUUUGUGCUUUAAUGAUAAAUUUUGGCUAAAAAUGAAUUGGAGCCAAAACCCCAAAAUAUUAUUGGAGCCAAAUCUUAUGGAGGAAAAUAUAACUGGAACAAAAUAUUAUCCUCUUGUAAUCCCUAAAACUAUGGAUUUUAAUAUUUUAAAGUAUAACCCCCUAAAACUAUAACCCUGAAGAUAGUCAUCCUUGUCCUUCUUGAUAGACCAAUAAUAAUAUUCCUUCAUUUUUCAAUCAUUAAUUAAUUGUGCUUUUUUUUAUUAAUUUUACAUGUAAUAUAAUUAUAUUAUAGUUUGAGUUUAAGUUUAAAAUUUAAAUAUAAGUUUAAUGAUCAGAUUUAUAGCUUGGAGAAUAAAACUAGAGAUUUAGGGUAUAUUGUAUGGAAUAUAGGGUUUGGGUUUAAGAAUGAGAUAUAUAUAUAUAUAAUUUAGGGAUAUAUAAUUUUAACAAAAUGACUUGCUAGACUUAUUUUUAACCCCUAAUCCCUAAAUAUACUCUAACCUUAAACCCUAAAUAUAAUCCUAAAAUCUAAAUUUUAAACUUUUAAACUUUAUAUAAAAAUAAAGUUCGAUAUAAAUAUACAUAUCAACCCGAAUCCAUCUAAUACCCUAAAUCUAAUACUCUAAACCCUAAGAUUCAAACUUAGAUGAUAUUCUAAAUACUAAAUAAAAUCUCUAAAUAAUUUUUUUUCCAGAUUUUAAAGCCAAAAUUCAAACUUAAAACUUUAAAUCUAAGUAUAUUUUAACACUCAAAUUAUACAAACUCUAAAUCUACUAAAUGCCAAACGUAAAUUCUCAUUAUAUAUAUCAUACCCCAAAUCAACUAUACACUUAUAUAUAUCAUACCCUAAAUUAAUCACAUCCCCUAAACUCUAACUAAAAUUCUUGAAAUUCUAAUUUUUAUUAGUUUAAUUUUUUUAAUUUUAAUUCAAAUCUCAGUUCUAAUACUCUAACCCUAAACUCUAAAUGUAUACCAUAACACAAAUCAUAUACCCUAAAUCAUAUUACAUAUACUCUAAACUCAUACUUUUAAACUCUAAAUUUUAAAUACAAAAUAAAUAUAACAAUAAUUAGAAUCUAAUUUAAUUUUAUAUAAACAAAUUUAGUUAAACAAUAAUUUCUAAAACAAUUAUUAAAAAAUAGUUUUGGAUUGGUUAAUUUUUGACCAUUUGAUUGUUUUUAAUCCAAUUGUUAAAAAUCAAUCUUAGUCAAUCCUCUCACUUUCUCCUUAUUGGUCAAUCUAUCAAAAACCAGGAUUACAAUUUGUGGUCACUGAUUAUUUUUGAUCCUGUGGCCUAAGAUCAAUCUUCUCCAUCUAUCCUUUCAACCCUCUCUCUCUCUCUCUCUCUCUCUCUCUCUCUCUCUCUCUCUCUCUCUCUCUCUCUCUCACGAUUUAGUCUUCUCCAUCUAUCCUUUGAAUCGUUAAACCUAAAAUUACAAAGUCUUCAGCCUCUUACGAUUCAACCUGUCUGGAUACAAACCUCUCUCUCUAUCUCUAUCUCUCUCAAUCGGCCAUGAUGAAAGCUUCGUUGACAACGUUUGACUCGAGUCAGAUUCGAGCCACAAACAGAGAUGGCGAGUGACAAACAAAGAUGGCGAACAGCGCUGGUGGCAAGGCAGAAGACGGCUGUCCUUCAUAAGUAGAGGGGGAAGUCUCAGCCUCUCUUUGCCAUGGACCUCUCCGUUUAAGCUCUCUCUCUCUCUCUCUCUCUCUCUCUCUCUCUCUCUCUCUCUCUCUCUCUCUCUCUGAUUUUGUUUUGAUUUUGGUACAUGAAGUGGGUCGUGAGCAGAGUUGGUUUGAUUGUUUUGUCUCCGAAGUUUAAUCAUUUAUACGAGUGAUUAGGAUGUGUUUUUGGAUUUGGAAAAAGAUUUCAACUUUGAUUAAGAAAAGCUAUGUGAGUUUCUUGCUUUGCUCAUAGCUUUCAUUGCAAUCUGAUGCGUAUGGUCUUCUUUUGUUUUGAUAUUUUCUGCAGGUAAUCUGAACAGGCUGCCAAGUCCCAAGCCGAGCUUCUUCAGACCUUGACUAAUGCUAAUGCUUAACUUUCGAGAAAGAGUGGUACAAAAAUUUAGCUGUGACAUCUCAAGCCAUGGAAGAAAGCUAGUCGGAGAUGGCAGAGAAAGCUGGCGGCGGCGGCGGCGGUGGUGGUGUAGGUGAACCCGAACAAGAAAAGAAGAAGAGAAGAAAGAGACGUAGAGAUGUAGGUUUUGGUUUAUUAGGUUUUGUUUAGAUUUUUUGGUUAUUAAACUUUUGGUUUAUUUAGGUUUGGUUAAUUAGGUUUUGGUUUAAUUUUUUUGGUUUGAUGUAUAAACUGAUUUUGUGUGUAAACAAUUUUUAAUUAAUGAAUAAAAUUUAACUUUUAAA